Molecule: ribosomal RNA, 509 nt
Filed under: uncultured bacterium
Lineage: Bacteria
Description: partial 16S ribosomal RNA
Rfam family: Bacterial small subunit ribosomal RNA
Source: RNAcentral
GACGAACGCUGGCGGCGUGCUUAACACAUGCAAGUCGAACGAAGAGCGAUGGAAGCUUGCUUCUAUCAAUCUUAGUGGCGAACGGGUGAGUAACGCGUAAUCAACCUGCCCUUCAGAGGGGGACAACAGUUGGAAACGACUGCUAAUACCGCAUACGAUCUAACCUCGGCAUCGAGGAUAGAUGAAAGGUGGCCUCUACAUGUAAGCUAUCACUGAAGGAGGGGAUUGCGUCUGAUUAGCUAGUUGGAGGGGUAACGGCCCACCAAGGCGAUGAUCAGUAGCCGGUCUGAGAGGAUGAACGGCCACAUUGGGACUGAGACACGGCCCAGACUCCUACGGGAGGCAGCAGUGGGGAAUCUUCCGCAAUGGACGAAAGUCUGACGGAGCAACGCCGCGUGAGUGAUGACGGCCUUCGGGUUGUAAAGCUCUGUUAAUCGGGACGAAAGGCCUUCUUGCGAAUAGUUAGAAGGAUUGACGGUACCGGAAUAGAAAGCCACGGCUAACUACGU